This 89-nucleotide unclassified non-coding RNA is filed under the name Pseudomonas yamanorum. The record is from RNAcentral. Lineage: Bacteria; Pseudomonadati; Pseudomonadota; Gammaproteobacteria; Pseudomonadales; Pseudomonadaceae.
UGUGGGAGCGGGCUUGCUCGCGAAAGCGGCGUGUCAGUCACUUAAUGUGUUUCUGAUACACCGUAUUCGCGAGCAAGCCCGCUCCCACA